CUUUUGAUGGCGACCGGCGCACGGGUGAGUAACACGUAUCCAACCUGCCUCAUACUCGGGGAUAGCCUUUCGAAAGAAAGAUUAAUACCCGAUGUCAUAGUCCUACCGCAUGAUGGGAUUAUUAAAGAAUUUCGGUAUGGGAUGGGGAUGCGUUCCAUUAGUUAGUUGGCGGGGGUAACGGCCCCACCAAGACAACGAUGGAUAGGGGUUCUGAGAGGAAGGUCCCCCACAUUGGAACUGAGACACGGUCCAAACUCCUACGGAAGGCAGCAG
RNAcentral lists this ribosomal RNA (273 nucleotides) under uncultured bacterium. RNAcentral's name for it is "partial 16S ribosomal RNA". It matches the Rfam family "Bacterial small subunit ribosomal RNA", at positions 78 to 354 of the family's 1533-position model. The record is from RNAcentral.